This 440-nucleotide ribosomal RNA is filed under the name uncultured bacterium. RNAcentral describes it as "partial 16S ribosomal RNA". It matches the Rfam family "Bacterial small subunit ribosomal RNA", at positions 338 to 795 of the family's 1533-position model. The record is from RNAcentral.
CCUACGGGAGGCAGCAGUAGGGAAUUUUGCGCAAUGGGCGAAAGCCUGACGCAGCAACACCGCGUGAAUGUUAAGCCCUUCGGGGUGUAAAGUUCUGUCAAUAGGGACGAAUUUUGACUGUACCUAUAAAGGAAGCACCGGCUAACUCCGUGCCAGCAGCCGCGGUAAUACGGGGGGGGCAAGCGUUGUCAGGAAUCAUUGGGCGUAAAGCGUUCGUAGGCGGGAAGGUAAGUCUGAGGUUAAAGCCCGGGGGUCAACGCGGGUUCUGCAUUGGAUACUAGCUAGCUGGAAUGUGUGAGAGGUAAAGGGAAUUACUGGUGUAGGGGUGAAAUGCGUAGAUAUCAGGAGGAACAUCGGUGGCGAAAGCGAUUUACUGGAACAUUAUUGACGCUGAGGAGCGAAAGCGAGGGGAGCAAAUGGGAUUAGAUACCCGGGUAGUC